GGGGUUGUGACUCAGUGGUAGAGUACUCGCCUAUCUCGUGCGAGGCCCUGGGUUCGAUCCUCAGCACCACA
Molecule: transfer RNA, 71 nt
Filed under: Marmota monax (woodchuck)
Lineage: Eukaryota; Metazoa; Chordata; Mammalia; Rodentia; Sciuridae
Description: tRNA.Asp
Source: RNAcentral